This 253-nucleotide ribosomal RNA is filed under the name uncultured bacterium. RNAcentral describes it as "partial 16S ribosomal RNA". It matches the Rfam family "Bacterial small subunit ribosomal RNA", at positions 524 to 776 of the family's 1533-position model. The record is from RNAcentral.
UACGGAGGGUGCAAGCGUUGUCCGGAAUCACUGGGCGUAAAGCGCACGUAGGCGGAUUGUUAAGUCAGGGGUGAAAUCCUGGAGCUCAACUCCAGAACUGCCUUUGAUACUGGCGAUCUUGAGUCCGGGAGAGGUGAGUGGAACUGCGAGUGUAGAGGUGAAAUUCGUAGAUAUUCGCAAGAACACCAGUGGCGAAGGCGGCUCACUGGCCCGGUACUGACGCUGAGGUGCGAAAGCGUGGGGAGCAAACAGG